RNAcentral lists this ribosomal RNA (217 nucleotides) under Escherichia coli. Its description in RNAcentral is "partial 23S ribosomal RNA". It matches the Rfam family "Bacterial large subunit ribosomal RNA", at positions 1125 to 1340 of the family's 2925-position model. The record is from RNAcentral. Lineage: Bacteria; Pseudomonadati; Pseudomonadota; Gammaproteobacteria; Enterobacterales; Enterobacteriaceae.
AAAGAAAGCGUAAUAGCUCACUGGUCGAGUCGGCCUGCGCGGAAGAUGUAACGGGGCUAAACCAUGCACCGAAGCUGCGGCAGCGACGCUUAUGCGUUGUUGGGUAGGGGAGCGUUCUGUAAGCCUGCGAAGGUGUGCUGUGAGGCAUGCUGGAGGUAUCAGAAGUGCGAAUGCUGACAUAAGUAACGAUAAAGCGGGUGAAAAGCCCGCUCCCCGA